UUGAGUAUAAAAUAAACAUGCAAGUCUAAUUGUUAUGAAUCACUCCUCUGACAUGGUGGUGUAUUGGUUUCUCUGUUGCAGGUGAUGUAACAUCGAUGGACGCCUACUUGAUAAAGUUCUUCCCAGUCGUCUAUCGAAAGACCAAAGAUCCUGGUUUGGACAGCCAUUACUGCAAAUACGACAACCACGGCCUUCAGCUAUUGAUCACAUCAUCGUUGUAUCUGGCUGGCUUGAUUUCGUCCUUCUUCGCAUCCUACACCACAAGAAACCUCGGUCGGAGGCUGACCAUGCUCAUUGCAGGGAUUUUCUUCAUCAUUGGCGUGGUGCUAAAUGCAGCUGCCCAGAACCUUGCCAUGCUCAUUAUAGGAAGGAUCUUCCUGGGGUGUGGAGUCGGCUUCGCUAAUUAGAGGAAAGCUUCCACUGCCGAUGACGCACCAGAUCUCUCCCAACUACAGCUCCAUCAUGUUGGCUGAUUUCUCGGAGAUGGACCAGAGGCUUCAGUUGUUGCAGUCAAGAUCUAACAAUCUGAAUUAGAAUCCAGUGAUGACGGUUGAUCAAAGCUUCAGUUGUUGAAUUCUUUUUUUUUCCUAGAUUUCUAUUCCAAAUAGAAACUAAAAUUUCAAUUUGAAAAGUCGCUGUGAUUCUCAUGUUUUUCUCCAUGAGUUGUUACCUUAUGAGAACAAAAAUGCAAGCCAUUUGAUCAAUGGCCACUGAAUAUGCAAA
Long non-coding RNA from Magnolia sinica, 723 nucleotides. RefSeq lists it as uncharacterized. The record is from RefSeq and is a predicted model, not a curated record. The transcript is spliced from 2 exons. Lineage: Eukaryota; Viridiplantae; Streptophyta; Magnoliopsida; Magnoliales; Magnoliaceae.